ACGGGGUGCAGCAGGCGCGAAACCUCCGCAAUGUGAGAAAUCGCGACGGGGGGAUCCCAAGUGCCAUUCUUAACGGGAUGGCUUUUCAUUAGUGUAAAGAGCUUUUGGAAUAAGGGCUGGGCAAGACCGGUGCCAGCCGCCGCGGUAACACCGGCAGCUCUAGUGGUAGCAGUUUUUAUUGGACCUAAAGCGUCCGUAGCCGGUUUAAUAAGUCUCUGGUGAAAUCCUGUAGCUUAACUGUGGGAAUUGCUGGAGAUACUAUUAGACUUGAGACCAGGAGAGGUUAGAGGUACUCCCAGGGUAGAGGUGAAAUUCUGUAAUCCUGGGAGGACCGCCUGUUGCGAAGGCGUCUAACUGGAACGGUUCUGACGGUGAGGGACGAAAGUUAGGGGCGCGAACCGGAUUAGAUACCCGGGUAGUCCUAACUGUAAACGAUGCGGACUUGGUGUUGGGGUGGCUUUGAGCUGUUCCAGUGCCGAAGGGAAGCUGUUAAGUCCGCCGCCUGGGAAGUACGGGUCGCAAGACUGAAACUUAAAGGAAUUGGCGGGGGGAGCAC
RNAcentral lists this ribosomal RNA (556 nucleotides) under uncultured archaeon. RNAcentral's name for it is "bacterial SSU rRNA". It matches the Rfam family "Archaeal small subunit ribosomal RNA", at positions 325 to 879 of the family's 1478-position model. The record is from RNAcentral.